RNAcentral lists this unclassified non-coding RNA (138 nucleotides) under uncultured Ascomycota. Its description in RNAcentral is "sequence contains ITS1". The record is from RNAcentral. Lineage: Eukaryota; Fungi; Ascomycota.
CCGAGUUCUCGCAACUCCCAAACCCCCUGUGAACACUACCUACGUUGCCUCGGCGCGGGCCUUCCCCGCCGGCGGCCUACCUAUUAACAUUCUUGUCUCGCAUGAAGCUCUUCUGAACUACGAAAACAAAAUACGUUA